Molecule: long non-coding RNA, 249 nt
Filed under: Sus scrofa (pig)
Lineage: Eukaryota; Metazoa; Chordata; Mammalia; Artiodactyla; Suidae
Description: lncRNA (ENSSSCG00005012034.1)
Source: RNAcentral
AUAAUCCAACCAAUCAUUUCAUUUGCAGAUGGGGAAAGAGAAGCUAGAGAAGGAUGGAACCUGCCUUAGAGGAAGAUGGAUAUACGGAUUGGACAGUACAUGUGGAAGGCAAUUUGGAAAUCAGACAAAGUCGAGCACAAAGCCGUGGAUACUGAGAGAGGGAGUGAGCAGUGUGUGAGACCGGCGGCAAGGGUGACCCUGGCACUUCUAAGAAGGCAGCAGCACAAUGGACUCUUCGAAAGAAGCAGU